AACUGCUCACCGUCGUUGCCACAAACCCCAAAAUCACCUCCAACCACAGUCCACAGCGGCAGCCUCCAAUCAAAUCCUCGCGUCGCCAAUUAAGAAACAAAUCCCCUUGCUCCGUCCUCUGCUCCAACACCGGUCACCGCCGCCAGCGAUGCCAUCAUCACCGCCAUCCUCGACCUCCAGGACCGCGGCCUCCUCCGAGAGCGGACCUACUCGGAGCCGCCCAAGUGGAUGCGCGGCAAGUCCCCCGCUCAUUCAACCGCGCCCUCACGCGGAAUCCGUCGAUGCGGCCAAUCAGUCUCAUUUUCUAUAAAUUGCACUCGGUGAAAGUACUUAUAUUUACGAUGAUGGAUUAACUACUUAAUUCUUGAUCAUAUUUAAUAACUGCACGACUCUGUACAUGUAUAAAUGAUCGUGCUGAGUAUUAGACUGCAAUAAUUUGGCUGGAGCUUUGCUUGUUUCAGUGUGCCCUGUGGCAAAAUUUUAGAAUUCUCACGAUAGAACUUGAGAAUAAAUUUCGAUGUUACUGUACGAAUAUUGAGAAUAAAAAUCAUGCCUUGGUCAUUUUCUAGUAAUUACAGUUGGUGAAAAUACUUAUGUCUACCAUGCUGGAUAAACUACUUAAUUCUUGAUCAUAUUUUAGUAAAUACACGACUCUGUACAUGUAUAAAUGAUCGUGCUGAGUAUUAAACUGCUAUAAUUUGGCUGGAGCUUUGCUUGUUUCGACGUGCCCUGUGGCAAAAUUUUACAAGUCUCAUGAUGGAACUUGAGAAUAAAUUUCGAUGUAGAUGUACGAAUAUUAUGAUCUGUAGUUUUGCCACUGUUUGUUGCAUCCUGGAAUCCUCAUAACAUAACAGAUUUUUAGAUCUCAUUAUACUAGUGUGACCUUUAAUUAGUUAUGUACUGAACUAUAUUUUGUUGAACAUGCCACUUUAUCCUGCAUAUGGAGCUCCUGACUACAGCCAUCAAAUGCCCCAGUCUGCUCCUCAAGUAGAACCUUAUGGGGCCUACCGAAGCUGAGAAGGAAGAGAUGGCGCCACGGUGAAUCUUGGCGAUUAAAUAUACCCAGCCAUGUGAUUAAGAGUCUGGAAGAUGAGAAGCAAGAGACCAAUGGAGGUUCAAGACCAUGCUGCUGCUUCCAUGUCUGUUGACACACACGGCCAUCUCGGCCACCUACAGCGGCAUCGGUGGCAAGAGGACGUCGAGAAUUUGGAAGCGCAGGCAGGUUUCUCCAUAUCUCGCUUCAGAUUUCGGGCUUGAAGGUUUAGCAAGUGACUGCAAUCUGGGAAACAGAGGAAGCCGUUGAGCACCUAACCAAGGUGUUCCUACUGAAUCUCAAAAACCAUUUAUGGUACUAAGAGGUCAGUCACCGUAGCAACAAUGCUUGGAGAGCUUCAUGAGUUGAAAAUGUCACCACUCUUUGUAUGUGGAGCUGUCCUCCCGAGGAGCUGGAUGCAGAGUGAAUGAACUACUCGAUCUUGACAUGUAGAAGAAGAAAAUGGUCAAUGGUGGUAGAGUCAGGAGCUGGAUGCGUUUGAAUUUCGCUCGAAACGUGCAAGACGGUGUUGCUACCGGAUUCUGCCACGAACUCAGUUUUAUGUGCCAAGCCUCAGGAUCCCUGACAUGCUUCUGAAGCCUGUUCUUCGGGCUAUAUACGUGCAUCUGGAUCAAGUGCAGUGCAAGGAUCAGUUGACUAGGGCACUACCUGAGCGCCACCACCCAGAUGUCGGCGAGUACACGGCAUCAUUGUCAACACAUUUUACGACUGCCAGAAGAUGGACAUAGGAUGCCUAUCGAGCAUGUCGAGGUGCUCACAACCGUUUGGGCUCUUUACUACACAAUCCACAAGAUUAUGCAAGGGCUUCUUGAUCGGUAUACUGUGGCUGGAUACUCAAGGCCCUCACGAUGUUUGUUGGGAUAGCUAAUUACUUCAGUGGUUGUGUGAAGAAUGUCAAUACAGAAAUACAACAUUGAGAUGCACUGGGUGUCAAGGAUGUAUCACUUGAAAUCUGCCUCAACUUAGUUUGAUUGUGCAACAGUUGUAGAGCAGUAACAUUAACAAUGGAGGAAGCAAGUAGCUAAAUAGUAUCAAUGUAAACAUAUGUAUUUUGUUCAUAGAAGCAAACUUCAGU
This is a long non-coding RNA of Lolium rigidum, 2129 nucleotides long. RefSeq lists it as uncharacterized. NCBI's taxonomy places the organism in Eukaryota, Viridiplantae, Streptophyta, Magnoliopsida, Poales, Poaceae. The record is from RefSeq and is a predicted model, not a curated record. The transcript is spliced from 9 exons.